Molecule: ribosomal RNA, 440 nt
Filed under: uncultured bacterium
Lineage: Bacteria
Description: partial 16S ribosomal RNA
Rfam family: Bacterial small subunit ribosomal RNA
Source: RNAcentral
CCUACGGGUGGCAGCAGUGGGGAAUAUUGCACAAUGGGGGAAACCCUGAUGCAGCGACGCCGCGUGAGUGAAGAAGUAAUUCGUUAUGUAAAGCUCUAUCAGCAGGGAAGAAAAUGACGGUACCUGAGUAAGAAGCCCCGGCUAACUACGUGCCAGCAGACGCGGUAAUACGUAGGGGGCAAGCGUUAUCCGGAUUUACUGGGUGGAAAGGGAGCGGAGACGGCAGUGCAAGUCUGGAGUGAAAGGCGGGGGCUCAAUCCCCGGACUGCUCUGGAAACUGUACGGCUGGAGUGCAGGAGAGGUAAUUGGAAUUCCUAGUGUAGCGGUGAAAUGCGUAGAUAUUAGGAGGAACACCAGUGGCGAAGGCGGCUUACUGGACUGUAACUGACGUUGAGGCUCGAAAGCGUGGGGAGCAAACAGGAUUAGAUACCCGGGUAGUC